This 663-nucleotide ribosomal RNA is filed under the name uncultured cyanobacterium. RNAcentral's name for it is "bacterial SSU rRNA". It matches the Rfam family "Bacterial small subunit ribosomal RNA", at positions 99 to 795 of the family's 1533-position model. Lineage: Bacteria; Bacillati; Cyanobacteriota. The record is from RNAcentral.
CGGACGGGUGAGUAACGCGUGAGGAUCUGCCGACAGGACGGGGACAACAGUUGGAAACGACUGCUAACACCCGAUGUGCCGAGAGGUGAAAUAUUUAUAGCCUGUCGAUGAGCUCGCGUCUGAUUAGCUAGUUGGUUAGGUAAUGGCUGACCAAGGCGACGAUCAGUAACUGGUCUGAGAGGAUGACCAGUCACACUGGGACUGAGACACGGCCCAGACUCCUACGGGAGGCAGCAGUGGGGAAUUUUCCGCAAUGGGCGCAAGCCUGACGGAGCAAUACCGCGUGAGGGAGGACGGCUCUUGGGUUGUAAACCUCUUUUCUCUGGGAAGAACACAAUGACGGUACCAGGGGAAUCAGCAUCGGCUAACUCCGUGCCAGCAGCCGCGGUAAUACGGAGGAUGCAAGCGUUAUCCGGAAUGAUUGGGCGUAAAGCGUCCGCAGGUGGCUAUGUAAGUCUGCUGUUAAAUAGUCUAGCUCAACUAGAUAAAGGCAGUGGAAACUACAUGGCUAGAGUGCGUUCGGGGCAGAGGGAAUUCCUGGUGUAGCGGUGAAAUGCGUAGAGAUCAGGAAGAACACCGGUGGCGAAAGCGCUCUGCUAGGCCGCAACUGACACUGAGGGACGAAAGCUAGGGGAGCGAAUGGGAUUAGAUACCCCAGUAGUC